This 346-nucleotide ribosomal RNA is filed under the name uncultured eukaryote. RNAcentral describes it as "SSU rRNA". It matches the Rfam family "Eukaryotic small subunit ribosomal RNA", at positions 594 to 945 of the family's 1831-position model. The record is from RNAcentral.
AUAGCGUAUAUUAAAGUUGUUGCCGUUAAAAAGCUCGUAGUUGAAUUUUCGGCCUGGUUGGACGGUCUGCUCUAGGGUUUGUACUGUCCUGACCGGGUCUUACCUUCUGGUGAGCUGUCGUAUUGUUUACUCAGUGCGGCAGGGAACCAGGACUUUUACUUUGAAAAAAUUAGAGUGUUUAAAGCAGGCAUUCGCUUGAAUACAUUAGCAUGGAAUAAUAGAAUAGGACUUUGGUUCUAUUUUGUUGGUUUCUAGGACCGAAGUAAUGAUUAAUAGGGAUAGUUGGGGGCAUUAGUAUUUAAUUGUCAGAGGUGAAAUUCUUGGAUUUAUUAAAGACUAACUUCUG